RNAcentral lists this ribosomal RNA (220 nucleotides) under uncultured bacterium. RNAcentral's name for it is "partial 16S ribosomal RNA". It matches the Rfam family "Bacterial small subunit ribosomal RNA", at positions 1277 to 1500 of the family's 1533-position model. The record is from RNAcentral.
UAAACGUCCCAGUUCGGAUGUAGUCUGCAACCCGACUACAUGAAGCUGGAAUCGCUAGUAAUCGCGAAUCAGAAUGUCGCGGUGAAUACGUUCCCGGGUCUUGUACACACCGCCCGUCACACCAUGGGAGUCGGAAAUGCCCGAAGUCAGUGACCCAACCGUAAGGAGGGAGCUGCCGAAGGUGGAGCCGGUAACUGGGGUGAAGUCGUAACAAGGUAGC